Molecule: long non-coding RNA, 2605 nt
Organism: Salvelinus namaycush (lake trout)
Lineage: Eukaryota; Metazoa; Chordata; Actinopteri; Salmoniformes; Salmonidae
Exons: 8
Source: RefSeq, a predicted model, not a curated record
AUUUUUGACCCUUGGGUUCUGCCAGGGAGUUAUAUUAGAAGUGCCCAUCCAAGAAGGUCAUUGGCCACAGAUAGAAUGACAUCAAAUUACGUUAUAUCUACAGUAGCUUUGUGUAAAGAGUGCGCUGAGAGCCGGGAAGCAAGUUCAGGGAGUGUGUUUUGAUCUAGAGGCCGGAGAGGGAGUAUACGUGACACUUUGAUUGGACUGAUCAUGUCAACAUCGUACUUUCAAAAUCUUAGCUGGCAAGCUAGCAGUCGUCACCAUGACUCAAGUCGACAAUCAAAUCCUUGUCAUAUGAAGAGAAAUUAGAGAUAAACGUCUCGGUGCUCAUCGGCUAUUGGACAUAAACAUUACACAACAAGUUGGAAAUCGCAAAUUCAACAAUGAGUGGUUUGGGAAGGAAUUAUUGGCUAGCUGUGAGUUCAAGACAACUCAGAACUCGGGACAAACGAGCUUCGACUGGGAAAAUACGUUUUGAACGGUCAUUCAACUCGGAAUUGUAAAUUCGGCAUCUUUCUCUUUGAUGACAAAAUUUGCCCAAGAAGGACCGCCGCGCCACUUUCCUGUUUAAGCACAUCACGACGGGUGAGAAGAAGGUAAUCUGCAACAAACUUGUACAGAUGAGUGCUUUGACAUGUUUGCUAUGGCCGGCAGAACACGCAAUCAUUUUUGGUUUAACUGAGGGAAAGGUUCACCUUGCUAACACAAAAACAAACAAGUCAUCUACAGUCUACAGAAAAGAUUCCUACGUUGUCUCGUUGACAACAGGUAAAUUGUUGACCCACCCUUGGCUUCCCAUGCCAGGGCAUAUGGUUUGGCAACAGCUUCAUAGUGGCUGGAUGUGACAAGAAGAUGGUGGCCUAUGGCAGGGAAGGUCACAUCCAGCAGACUUUUGACUACAGCCGAGAACACGCUGAGAAAGAGUUCACUGUGGCCACCAGUCCCAGUGGACAGUCUGUGGUCAUCGGCAGCUAUUACCGUCUUCAACUGGGGUCCUCUGAAAGGAGCAUGGGACGAAGCAUCCCCCAAAGAGAUUCCAAACCUGUACACCAUCACUGCCUUGGCCUGGAAGAAGGACGGCUCACACGCCUCUGUGCAGUUAGUAACCAUACACGAACGAACACACCUGUUUGCAACAGUCAUGCCAUAAUUGAUUUAGCUCCGAAUGUGCUGUAGAAAGUAGGCUACACGUUGCCUUUCACAGCUUUUUGUAAUUUAAACUUCAUGAACGUGUUUUUGUCAAUCCCUGUGUUCAGGGUACACUGUCUGGCGGAGUGGAACAGUUUUUCUGCUGCCUGUGGAGGAGCAUCUACAAGAACAAUUUUGAGAUGACUUAUGAGGGACUGAGUCGGGUACCUUGUGAUAUUCACCGCCUUCAGUUCAGAACGAAAGGGUGGUCUUUUCAGUUCAGCUGACAAGGAAAGUUUAACUUGAGUCCUUGAGUUGUGGCUCACAGAGAUUGUUGUUGAGCUGCGCUAAUCACAUCACCCUCUGUGGACUCAACAGUUCUUCUUAGCCAUGUCACUUAAUUCCUUGCGGGUGUCACACCAGCCUUCGCUUUGGCUCCCCCUCCUGUCCAGCUCAGGCAUUAGGCGUUGCCGGCUUUCUAGCUGCUGGCAAACGCCUUUCACUCAUCAACCCCGGACUUGUCUCGUCAUCAUUACACACACCUGGUUCCAAUCCCCACGCUAUCACUGUGUGUGUAUAGAUACUCCCUCUGUCAUUUGUAUUUGUCGUCAUUGUAAAUGUUGCUUGUUUUCCUGAGAGGAAUCUCCUAUUUCCUGAACCUUAUUUUGCACUUUGGGUCUUGUCCCGCAUUUAUUUAUGUGUGUGUAUGUAUGUAUGUAUGUAUGUGUGUGUAGAGAUAUCUCUCUCUCGCUCUCAUAUUUAUAUAUAGAGAGAGUGCUUUAAUAAACUCAGUAGUUCUAAACCUGCGACUGCCUACUCCUCUCUACGCUUGUGACAGUGGGUUUGUGGCUCAGUCUAUCUAACUGAACAUUGUCUCUCGAGGUGAUUGUAAAGAACCUGUCCACAGGGAUGCAGGUUGUGCUGAAAUCCCACUACAGCCAUGAGAUAGACGAGGUGAAGAUCAUGAGGAAGGACCGCUAUCUGGUGGCCCACACCUCUGACACCCUGCUGCUGGGAGACUUGUCCUCCAACAACCUGAGUGAGGUGUGUAUGAUUUGCAACACUGGGGGUGCUGAUGCUGGUGGAGUGCGGCAGCAACAACACUGGGGGCGCUGAUGCUGGUGGAGUGCGGCAGCAACAACACUGGGGGGCGCUGAUGCUGGUGGAGUGCGGCAGCAACAACACUGGGGGCGCUGAUGCUGGUGGAGUGCGGCAGCAACAACACUGGGGGCGCUGAUGCUGGUGGAGUGCGGCAGCAACAACACUGGGGGCGCUGAUGCUGGUGGAGUGCGGCAGCAACAACACUGGGGGCGCUGAUGCUGGUGGAGUGCGGCAGCAACAACAUCCUGGGAUCAGUGAGAACUGAGUUCAUGAACCCACAUCUCAUCCGUGUUUGUCUCAAUGAGCGCAAACAGAAUGGAGUUGAAGACAGCAAAAAGUUAGCCUACCUGAUUGACAUCAAGACCAUUGCCAUUGG